This 74-nucleotide transfer RNA is filed under the name Caudoviricetes sp. Its description in RNAcentral is "tRNA-Asp". It matches the Rfam family "tRNA". From Rfam's summary of the family: Transfer RNA (tRNA) molecules are approximately 80 nucleotides in length. Their secondary structure includes four short double-helical elements and three loops (D, anti-codon, and T loops). Further hydrogen bonds mediate the characteristic L-shaped molecular structure. tRNAs have two regions of fundamental functional importance: the anti-codon, which is responsible for specific mRNA codon recognition, and the 3' end, to which the tRNAs corresponding amino acid is attached (by aminoacyl-tRNA synthetases). tRNAs cope with the degeneracy of the genetic code in two manners: having more than one tRNA (with a specific anti-codon) for a particular amino acid; and 'wobble' base-pairing, i.e. permitting non-standard base-pairing at the 3rd anti-codon position. Lineage: Duplodnaviria; Heunggongvirae; Uroviricota; Caudoviricetes. The record is from RNAcentral.
GGGGCUGUAGUUCAGACGGUUAGAAUGCUUGCCUGUCACGCAAGAGGUCGUGGGUUCGAUUCCCAUCAGUCCCG